UUAGGUUCGGUUCCAAUAUGUACUGCAUCAUUUUUUACAGUUGUGCACAAAGGAGGAACAUGUGAGGUGAUCGCAGCACACCGAUGUUGCAACAAGAACCGUAUUGAGGAACGUUCCCAGACGGUCAAGUGUUCAUGUUUACCAGGAAAAGUGGCUGGCACGACACGAAACAAACCCUCCUGUGUAGACGCCUCCAUUGUGAUUGGGAAGUGGUGGUGUGAGAUGGAGCCAUGUCUGGAGGGAGAAGAGUGCAAGACGCUACCAGACAACUCCGGCUGGAUGUGUUCCUCUGGGAAUAAGAUCAAGACCACGAGGGUGAGGAUCAAAUUAUUCACGUCAAGUCACGUCAUGACCAAUCAAAUGCUCUCUUGUAUCUGA
This is a non-coding RNA of Danio rerio (zebrafish), 378 nucleotides long. The record is from Ensembl. NCBI's taxonomy places the organism in Eukaryota, Metazoa, Chordata, Actinopteri, Cypriniformes, Danionidae.